Molecule: long non-coding RNA, 221 nt
Filed under: Elaeis guineensis (African oil palm)
Lineage: Eukaryota; Viridiplantae; Streptophyta; Magnoliopsida; Arecales; Arecaceae
Description: long non-coding RNA (EGUI_LNC067570)
Source: RNAcentral
CUUGCACAAAAAGUGGGCAUCCCAAUAUGUUUUGGAGUGUGAGUUCUUUCACAAAGAAGGACUCUUCCUUCUUUUCUGCAUCCACAUAUCCCAAGAUGCCAUCUCAUGGUGUGUCAAACAAAAGAAUGCAUGGAAAUAAGAAGGAAUUUAAGAGGAGUAAUCAAGAAGGACUCCUUCUUAACGACUAAAAUAAAUGGGGUGUGGCUUUUAAUUCUUGCAUG